AUUUCUGCUCUAUACCUACAUAAAACUAACGAGGCAGAUAAAAUGCUUGAAGAGAAAUAUUCCCCAUACUUAUAAAAGAACACUUGAUUUUGGGAAAUAGUUAUUCCUAAUUAUUAUAUGGCAUCAAUGCAAUGCUAAACACAAUUCCAAAAGGAGUUCAAAGUUUGGAGAAAAUUGGACAAAAUUUUCUGUGGUUCACUGGAAAGAACAAUUAUUGCAAUGUAAGAUGAGAAAUGAACACUGACAAAGAAUUCGGUGCCUCAAAAGUUAAAAAUCUAAAUGAUAUGACUGUCCACGUGACAGAAUUGAGAGACAUUGGAGAUUAUUAAAGCAUACUUUGAAGUAUAUCAGUAAGGGUUUUAAUGGAGAUGAUUAGAUCUUGGGGGAAUCUGACCUAAUCAAUGGCUUAAUCCAUUUAUGGUUUCAAAAUCUGAAUAAAUUGUUGGGACUGUGAAAGAUGGGCCCAAGUUGGAAGCAGUAGGUCAUUUGGGAAAUGCCUUGAAAAGCACCAUACCACAUAU
This is a long non-coding RNA of Dipodomys spectabilis (banner-tailed kangaroo rat), 521 nucleotides long. RefSeq lists it as uncharacterized. The transcript is spliced from 3 exons. The record is from RefSeq and is a predicted model, not a curated record. NCBI's taxonomy places the organism in Eukaryota, Metazoa, Chordata, Mammalia, Rodentia, Heteromyidae.